RNAcentral lists this ribosomal RNA (159 nucleotides) under Candida albicans. Its description in RNAcentral is "5.8S ribosomal RNA". It matches the Rfam family "5.8S ribosomal RNA". From Rfam's summary of the family: 5.8S ribosomal RNA (5.8S rRNA) is a component of the large subunit of the eukaryotic ribosome. It is transcribed by RNA polymerase I as part of the 45S precursor that also contains 18S and 28S rRNA. Functionally, it is thought that 5.8S rRNA may be involved in ribosome translocation. Lineage: Eukaryota; Fungi; Ascomycota; Pichiomycetes; Serinales; Debaryomycetaceae. The record is from RNAcentral.
AACUUUCAACAACGGAUCUCUUGGUUCUCGCAUCGAUGAAGAACGCAGCGAAAUGCGAUACGUAAUAUGAAUAUGCAGAUAUUCGUGAAUCAUCGAAUCUUUGAAACGCACAUUGCGCCCUCUGGUAUUCCGGAGGGCAUGCCUGUUUGAGCGUCGUUU